UCCUCUAGUUUUCUCUUCAUCUCACAAUUCCCUCUUCUUUCUUAUUGUUCUCCCUAACGUGAGAAGUUUAUAACAUAUUGUGGUAAGAAAUAAUUCUCAUCUCCCUUUUACCAAUCAGUAAUUUGAAUCUGAAUCGGAGAAGAGAGAGACGCCUGCGGGUUUCGGCAACGGCAGAUAAGAAGUGGAGGAACCGAGUUAAGUUCCGAAUCGCGAAACUCAGAUAUCGAGGUUUGAGAAUUGCGGAAUGUCUCUGAAACCGUCGUACUCGGCGGAGAAUCUGAUGCUUCCGGUAUCGGAUCCUCCCAACGAAGAAGACAGAGAGAGGCUUUUGAAGAGCGAUAGUAAGACCUUCCGAGGACGAAGGAUUUACGCUGCCAUCUCUUACAUGUCAUGUGCAGUGCUCUUGAUACUGUUCAAUAAAGCUGUUCUUUCCUCUUAUGGCUUCCCGUCUUCGAGUAUCGUCACGCUUCUUCAGAUGGUAUGUUCAUGUUGUUUUCUUUAUGUAUUGAGGCGCUGGAGGAUGAUUUCUCUCAUAGCAGGCGAAUCAGUUAUUACAGCAGAUAACUCGAAGAAGUUUGUGCCACUGAGGACUUUGAAGCACACUCUUCCUCUAGCAGGAGCAUAUUUACUUUACAUGUUAGUCACUAUGGAGUCUGUUCGUGGAGUAAAUGUUCCAAUGUACACCACCCUUAGGAGGACCACAGUGGUAUUUACAAUGCUUGUAGAAUAUAUGCUGAUGGGGCAUAGGUACACAUCUUCUGUCGCUUUCAGUGUUGGCUUGAUUGUCUUCGGUGCAUUUAUUGCGGGAGCACGGGAUUUCUCCUUUGAUACCUAUGGCUAUGCCCUUGUUUUCCUGUCAAACAUCACCACAGCUAUAUAUCUUGCAAUGAUAGCCCGUGUUGGAAAAACUAGUGGCCUUAAUAGCUUUGGCCUUAUGUGGUGCAAUGGUAUCAUAUGUGGGCCCUUUUUGUUUAUUUGGACAUUAGUACAGGGUGACUUGAAGAUGACACUCAACUUUCCAUACCUUUUUUCACCUGGUUUUAUUGUUGUUUUGUUUUUUUCCUGCAUACUUGCUUUCUUCCUGAAUUACAGUAUUUUUCUGAACACAACUCUCAAUUCAGCUCUGGCUCAGACAAUAUGUGGUAAUCUGAAGGUUUGUUCACUCGUUAGCUGUGUUGCCAUAAAUGUGUUUUGUAUUGUUCCAGAUUGGCACUGAUAAUGUAUAAGCGUUCUAUUUUAUGGUGUCAUCAUAGUACCUAAUUACUGCAUUGACUUUUGCAAGGACCAAGUAGGUGGAGUGAAUAUUUUCUGGUAAAUUAUAAAUUUGACAAUUAUUAGGGUAGAAACAGAGGUGCGGUGGUGCACUUGCCUAUUAAAACUUGGAAACUGGGGAAAUCUACUAGUACUUUUUGGUGUGGAGUGAGAGAGAGAGAGAGGGAGCAAGUAUAAGGAACUAUUAAUUGCUUAUGACAUUGGUUCGUGUUAAGAGGAUAGGGUGCACUUGGUUGUGAGGCAAUUCGAACUGUACUCUCUGAAUAGUGAGGGGUAUUUAAAUAUGAAUUUGGCUCUCGUAUUCGUCAGAGAGGAUAAAUUGUAAUGAUAAAUGUACAUUAAACAAUUGAUGAAAAAGAAGACUUCACAUUUUAGUGCAGAAUAGUUGUUUCUGAUUGAUGGGUCAUAGUAAUGAUCUUUGAUUGACAUAGGGAAACCCUUAAUUAAGACUUAGUGCUAGAGUAGGAUUUUAUCUUUGGUUCCUCCCUUUUUAUUGAAUCAAAAUAUGCCACUUCUCAACACAAUAUUGUGCUUUGUUUCUUAUUUUAGAAUACACCAAAGAUAGGAUAUGUUUACCUGACGCGGCCUACUUAAAACUUACUACAAUAUCUUCAUUUUAAUUGGAUUAAGGAUCUAUUCACUAUUAGCUUUGGCUGGAUAAUUUUUGGUGGGCUACCAUUUGAUUUUGUGAGUAUUCUUGUCCCGACUGAUUUUUUAUCAUUUGAGGUAUUUUUCUUGUUGAUAUGCCUUUUUGUUGCAGUGGAAUGUAUUGGGACAACUUCUGGGUUUUGUGGGCUCUGGUUUAUUUGCCUACAAUAAGCUCAUCGGCAAAUAACUCCCUCAAGUUUGUGCAGUUGAUGUAUUCAUGGGUUAGGAACUACCAUUUGCAUCUGUUAUCUGACCUUCACUACAUCCCUUUACAAGGAGAACCUUUAGAAGGAGAAAUAUCUGAAUUGAUUCUACAGUACUCUAAUCUAAUUUAUAGGGAGAUUUUGUUGUCAAAAUUGAUAUCAAUACAUAUCUCAUGGCCUUAGUACAUUCUACCUGCCUUUGAUCCAGCGAUGAGUUCACCUACAUGGAGGGAAUUUUUUUGAGUUUACAUGUAUUUAUUCAUUUUUUUUGGGUGGUUGAAGAAGUCAGGAUCAGAGAAGGGACAGUAAGCUUAACAGUUUUUGAGGUUCGAAUGUAGGAUAUAGAUAUCCAUUUCUGGACUUCACAUGUAUCUGUUCGUUAUACUUUUGGGAAAGUAAGCUAAACGAGAGUCAAUUAUAAGAUCAUAUUUAUAUCC
This is an RNA transcript of Vigna unguiculata (cowpea), 2560 nucleotides long. It is a transcript of the gene named Nucleotide/sugar transporter family protein, with no coding region annotated. The record is from RefSeq and is a predicted model, not a curated record. NCBI's taxonomy places the organism in Eukaryota, Viridiplantae, Streptophyta, Magnoliopsida, Fabales, Fabaceae.